UUUCCGUAGGUGAACCUGCGGAAGGAUCAUUAGUGAAUUAGGACACUCUUAGGAGGUCCAACCCCACUUUCCAACUCUGUGAACUAUUGGCGAAGACAGCUCCGGCUUGACUCGCGGCUCAUUUUAAACACCAGUCUAUGUAUGUAACCAAAAAAUAAAAUAAGAAAAACUUUCAACAACGGAUCUCUUGGCUCUCGCAUCGAUGAAGAACGCAGC
Molecule: unclassified non-coding RNA, 216 nt
Filed under: uncultured fungus
Lineage: Eukaryota; Fungi
Description: sequence contains ITS1, 5.8S rRNA gene
Rfam family: 5.8S ribosomal RNA (bases 168-216)
Source: RNAcentral